Molecule: ribosomal RNA, 462 nt
Filed under: uncultured bacterium
Lineage: Bacteria
Description: partial 16S ribosomal RNA
Rfam family: Bacterial small subunit ribosomal RNA
Source: RNAcentral
GACGAACGCUGGCGGCAUGCUUAACACAUGCCAGUCGAACGGAAAGGCCCUUCGGGGUACUCGAGUGGCGAACGGGUGAGUAACACGUGGGUGAUCUGCCCUGCACUUUGGGAUAAGCCUGGGAAACUGGGUCUAAUACCGAAUAUGAUCAUCGGCUUCAUGGUCGGUGGUGGAAAGCUUUUGCGGUGUGGGAUGGGCCCGCGGCCUAUCAGCUUGUUGGUGGGGUAAUGGCCUACCAAGGCGACGACGGGUAGCCGGCCUGAGAGGGUGACCGGCCACACUGGGACUGAGAUACGGCCCAGACUCCUACGGGAGGCAGCAGUGGGGAAUAUUGCACAAUGGGCGCAAGCCUGAUGCAGCGACGCCGCGUGAGGGAUGACGGCCUUCGGGUUGUAAACCUCUUUCAGCACAGACGAAGCGCAAGUGACGGUAUGUGCAGAAGAAGGACCGGCCAACUACGUG